CUCCUUAUCCACGGCACCGCACGGUCUCUUGGCCGGUUGUGGGGGUGAGCUGGCAUGGCACCGCUAACCCUGGCAGCGGCGCCAGCUACGCCUGCUUCUCCGCCAAAGCUCCUCGCUGCAAAAUCAUGCCGCACGACACCGCCCAAACCACCAGAAACCACGCAUGUCCGUCCCCCACCCUGCGGAUGAUGUUGCUUCUUUGUCGUGCCCUGGACAGCCCAAAGCGCGCUCUAUACAGCUGUCGCGCCCGUGAGGUGCCAUUCCAUCGAGCAAUGGCCUCAGUGCGUAAUUGCUCAGGGUCAGUGCUGAAAUGGAACCCCUGAAGGCCGCAGCAGCUAGCCCAAUCACCGUAAGCACCUGCAGAACCCCCUCACUCGCUGUAAUUGGCACCGGAUUCGAUUCCUUUGUGGCACCCCUCUCGCCCGCCUAUAAAUAGAGGCCUCGGGUCCUUCUCAAUCCAUCACCUCCACCCUACUUUAGCAGAGCCUCACCAAAACCACUCCGAGGGACUCGGGAGGGUCAUCUUCCCCGCCUCUGGACACCCCGAUCAGCUUCAGGCUCCGGCUAAAUUCGCUCACGCUUCUCUGACGAGAUCAAACUACACCUGAAAGCGCGGGCCGCCGGAGUUGGAGCUGCCAUCGACAUGGUGCUCACCGACGACUUCCUCCACCUCCCACAGCUGCGGAAUCAUCCAAGGAGUGCGCAUGUCCCCUUUCCCCCUCUAGUUCAUAGCAGAAUGCUGCCAGCGACACUGCGAGCCCCCUUUCACCGGCAAGGCAUUUCAGACCUGACAGUGGUGGCCCACUGUCAGGGUUCCAUUUAUUUUCGAACCGUUUUCCAAAAAGCGUGUUUCAGCGGAGUGUGUUUUUUCCUCUGGCUUGCGCACUUUCAUCAGUGCAUUUUCUUCUUUUUCAGUCAGCCCCUAGGUUACUUUCUGUUUAUUACAGUUUGAUCCCUAAACUCCUUUCUCUCAUAACUUUUAAACUACAUGGGACUUUGAGUUGACUCUUUUUGCAAAAAAAAAUCUUUUGCUUUACAGUGUUUCUUGAUAUUUAUUCAAAAAUAUUUUGAGACAUUAUUUUGGACAUUUGGAAUUUACGUUAGAAUCCGAUGUGUGUGAUUUAGAUACCGAAGGGGGAGAUGUUGCAGUCAACUUCACCGAGCUAGACCCCGACUACGUCGACCCACGCAAGCAUGUUUAAUCAUUUGAUGUGAUGGUUGUUGAUAUGGUUGUUUCAUAAACUGCUGCACAAUAAUACUUGCAUGUCAUAUGGUAUGAUUUCAUGCAUGACAAAGAUGACAACCUAUGUGAUAAUGAGAGGUCGUGUGCAGCCUGGUCACGUGGGACGUGAUAGGUUUCGGCGUGAUUAUGCCAGAUGCAUUACACCGUGUGGAUGAAGUUAACAACUCUAGUGUCGGCAUAGAUCGUGUCUUGUGUGUGCGUCACCUUACUUUUUGUACUACCGCAUGACUUUUUGGAAGGAAAUACAGUGUAGUAGGUCCUAAACCUAUUAUCAAGUACACACCAAGUAGAGCGGCCGGGAUGAAGGUUCCAUGGCGCUGGAAUAAUGCGAGUCAUCUGAUGAGGGGACAUGUGUGUUUCUCGUCUAGGACCCUUGUAGCGUGCGGUAGAAAUUUGAUCCCAUGCUAAUCGAGGACGUUGGCCUCCCUGUCUUAUAGUUUCCCCUAGAAGGGUGGUCUGGGUGAUUCCAGACGUCACUGGGUAAAGAUGGGUGUGUGUUUUGAGUGUUUACUUCUAAAAUGUCGUAUGCAAGAUUAUACCUAGUGACUGUUGAAACCCUUGGCUAUGGGUAAAGAGUACACCCUCUCCAGAGUCAAAACUAUUCGAGUAGCCGUGUCCACAGUGAAGGAUGACUGGUUCACAAGUCAAGUGUGGGUCUUCAUGUCGGUCUCUCAAGAACAAGUUUCUGUUUGUGGAAGUGCUUAUUAUUGACAUAUGACUGUGACGUUGGAACUAACUUGAUGAAACUUGGUUGUAUUGAAUAUCCCAAAGGUUGGUUGUACCACCCGGAUAUUCACUUACUUUUAUGCCCUUUCCGAGGUGUCGCUAAGACGCCUGACUGAGGCGAGUAUUUACUUUAUCAUGCCCUUUACAUGGUGUCGCUAAGACGCCCGACUGAGGGAGUAUUUACUUUAACAUGCCCUUUCCAUGGUGUCGCUGAGACGCCCAACUGAGGCGCGAUUUACUUGAUUAUGCCCUUUCCAUGGUGUUGCAUAGACGCUCGACUCCGGCUUGUGAAUUUAUUAUUAAGCCAUGUAUGCGAUGUCGCUCACAAGCCCGAUGGUGGCUGUUUAUUUUUACUUUUUAACCUUUCGAGGCAUCGCUUCAGACACCCGAUUAGUGCCUUUUCAUUGUCUUGGAUAUUUUGGGAGGAUUACCGCCCAACUUAUCUACUCUAACUUCACUUCUGUUAAAUUUUCUAGCAUGAAUAAUUGUGAUAAUUAACCCUGCAUAUGAAACUUUUGCAUUCAACUUAUCUUUUGUGCAAACUAUCUUGCGACUACUUUGAAAGUACUCACUAGCUUGUUGAUGUGGCCAGAUAUCGAUGAAGGAGACCUCAUGGAUGAAGAGUAUGAUAGCGAAUAUGAUGCCUAGAGGAGUCCCGGACAGUCCUGCAACUUGGAGUUUUCAUUCUAUCAUCUCACCGCUUCCGCCACCAUGAAUAAAUCAUCAAGCCUCACUCUAACGCUUGUCAUGUAGUAGUACUUUAGUUGUGUCACUUCACUUUGAUGUGACAUGCCUACCUAUUUAUGCGACCAGUAGUGCUACCCCAUGACCACUAUGAUAUAUCUGCCCUUGUGCUAGAUAUGGGUGUAUUUUGUCCACUCUGCCCUGUUUAAUAUUAAGUACUACUGGUUUUCUAUA
Long non-coding RNA from Hordeum vulgare subsp. vulgare (domesticated barley), 2887 nucleotides. RefSeq lists it as uncharacterized. The record is from RefSeq and is a predicted model, not a curated record. The transcript is spliced from 2 exons. Lineage: Eukaryota; Viridiplantae; Streptophyta; Magnoliopsida; Poales; Poaceae.